UGAUUGGGUUUGGGCGGUGUUGUGUGUCCUGAUGGUGAGUUGUUGGAUAUCAUGUUGGUUUUUGUUUUUUGGUUUUUUAUGAAAUAUGUAGGUUUUGUUAGUGUUUUGGUUGGAUCUUUUGUGGGAGUUAGUGGAUUUUUCCUUGUUUGAAAAGAUAUUCAAGGAGUUAGGUACCAAAUAGCGUGCUGAAGUGAAGGAAAAACUUGAUCCUGUAGCUAGGAUUGGAAGAUGAAGCAUUAGUUUCUAGUGAUGAUGAAGAUGAUGAGGAAAAUGAAGCUACUGGAAUGACUUUGUUAUGCUUCUAUACAUUAUAUUUUGGUUUCUAUGCAACAUGUCUACAAGGUGGUAGUUUGUAAGAAAGUGUUGUUUGUUGCUUGUGGAUUGUUUCUGAACUUGUGUGUUGUGUUCUUGGUUGUUUUGUUUUUGAAAUUUUAUGCAAGCAAUCUAUUCAACCAAAAUGGCUGUUUUCAUUUCAUCAGUCCUUGUAAACCAGUCCCUGUUAUGUUGUUUAAAUUGCAGGAUGGUAAGAUUGAAGGUAUCGUAUAUCCUGAAGAAAUAAAGGAGUGUGAGCACCAUUUCUCCAGGUUUAGAUGCUCUUGUUCAUCAACAAUUUUUUUUUUGUUGCCUAUAUGAAUAUGGCGGUUUACUUUAGACCUGUUAAAGCUUUCAGUCAAGUGAAUUUGUGGAUUUGAUAUGCUUCUAUGUGCUGUUAAUGAUGUUCCUGUUCA
Dioscorea cayenensis subsp. rotundata (Guinea yam) is the source of this 728-nucleotide long non-coding RNA. RefSeq lists it as uncharacterized. The record is from RefSeq and is a predicted model, not a curated record. The transcript has 3 exons. NCBI's taxonomy places the organism in Eukaryota, Viridiplantae, Streptophyta, Magnoliopsida, Dioscoreales, Dioscoreaceae.